Molecule: ribosomal RNA, 254 nt
Filed under: uncultured bacterium
Lineage: Bacteria
Description: partial 16S ribosomal RNA
Rfam family: Bacterial small subunit ribosomal RNA
Source: RNAcentral
UACGAAGGGGGCUAGCGUUGUUCGGAAUUACUGGGCGUAAAGGGCGCGUAGGCGGUCAGCACAAGUCAGUUGUGAAAUCUCCGGGCUUAACUCGGAAAGGUCAACUGAUACUGUGCGACUAGAGUGCGGAAGGGGCAACUGGAAUUCUCGGUGUAGCGGUGAAAUGCGUAGAUAUCGAGAGGAACACCUGCGGCGAAGGCGGGUUGCUGGGCCGACACUGACGCUGAGGCGCGAAAGCCAGGGGAGCGAACGGG